RNAcentral lists this microRNA precursor (118 nucleotides) under Ovis aries (sheep). Its description in RNAcentral is "miRNA (ENSOARG00000024392.1)". Lineage: Eukaryota; Metazoa; Chordata; Mammalia; Artiodactyla; Bovidae. The record is from RNAcentral.
UCCUCUACAUAAACUGGUCUUAUUUUGCUUAUUAUAUAUAUAUGUGUGUGUGUGUGUGUGUGUGUGUGUGUGUGUAAAUAAAUACACACACACACACAUAUAUAUACACACAUAUAUA